GCCAAGGAGUCUAACAUGUGCGCGAGUCAUUGGGUUACUGUUAAAAGCGAACAAGCCUAAAGGCGCAAUGAAAGUGAAGACGGCCUUAGCGUCGAUCGAGGGAGGAUGGCCCGGGUUCGCUCGGGUCCGCACUCCCGGGGCGUCUCACGGUCGUUCGACCAGAGGCGCACCCAGAGCGUACACGUUGGGACCCGAAAGAUGGUGAACUAUGCCUGGUCAGGACGAAGUCAGGGG
RNAcentral lists this ribosomal RNA (234 nucleotides) under Courtella scobinifera. RNAcentral describes it as "partial 28S ribosomal RNA". It matches the Rfam family "Eukaryotic large subunit ribosomal RNA", at positions 666 to 858 of the family's 3401-position model. The record is from RNAcentral. Lineage: Eukaryota; Metazoa; Arthropoda; Insecta; Hymenoptera; Agaonidae.